CCUGAGGGUGAAGGAAGCCCUUCCAGCCACUUGCCGGGAGCCCUGAAGACGCGGUGGCUGGGCUGGGGGGGAGCGGGACGGGAGUGCCCUGGACUCCGCGGAUUCCUUUGGGACUGGGGGGCUGCGCACGUGUUUUACUCCAACUGUUUGCAACUUUUGAAACCCGGGCAAUAUGGCUUUGGCAUUUGAAAAACAUUUCAAACAGGAGAGAGUCUAAGAAAUGAGGCGGGUACGUUGAAACGAUGGAGAAAGGAUGGAAUGUCACAGUGGUCGAGAUUAAGAGCUGGAGUGCAGUAGCUCGACUAGCUGAUUGUAACCU
This is a long non-coding RNA of Cercocebus atys (sooty mangabey), 319 nucleotides long. RefSeq lists it as uncharacterized. The transcript has 4 exons. NCBI's taxonomy places the organism in Eukaryota, Metazoa, Chordata, Mammalia, Primates, Cercopithecidae. The record is from RefSeq and is a predicted model, not a curated record.